GCAUUAAUGGGGUAGUGGUAACCUGGGUCGUUGCCAUCAACUUGCAUGAGCUCGACCCGCCGGGGGUUCGAUUCCCUCUUAAUGCA
Molecule: non-coding RNA, 86 nt
Organism: Dendrothele bispora CBS 962.96
Lineage: Eukaryota; Fungi; Basidiomycota; Agaricomycetes; Agaricales
Source: the annotation of a GenBank genome assembly